This is a long non-coding RNA of Amaranthus tricolor (Joseph's coat), 280 nucleotides long. RefSeq lists it as uncharacterized. The transcript is spliced from 3 exons. The record is from RefSeq and is a predicted model, not a curated record. NCBI's taxonomy places the organism in Eukaryota, Viridiplantae, Streptophyta, Magnoliopsida, Caryophyllales, Amaranthaceae.
UAUAUGCUGAUAAAUUUAAGCAGACUCUUCAAAGUACUGGGUCCUUGCUGCCAGAUUUUCCUGAAGGAGAUGCAAAAGCUUUGGUUGCAUAUUUGACUGUUCUUCGAAAGGUUGUGGAAAAUGGGAAUCCUAUUGACAGGAAAAACUGGUUUCUUGAUAUUGAGCCGUUAUUCAAGCUCCUUAGUUAUGAAAAUGUGCCUCCUUUUCUCAAGGGUGCUUUAAGAGAUGCCAUUGCAGUUUUUAUCCAAGUUAGUCCAUUGAUGAAAGGCAUUAUUUGGGC